RNAcentral lists this ribosomal RNA (279 nucleotides) under uncultured bacterium. Its description in RNAcentral is "partial 16S ribosomal RNA". It matches the Rfam family "Bacterial small subunit ribosomal RNA", at positions 334 to 627 of the family's 1533-position model. The record is from RNAcentral.
UAGUCCUACGGGGGGCAGCAGUGGGGAAUAUUGGGCAAUGGGCGCAAGCCUGACCCAGCAACGCCGCGUGAAGGAAGAAGGCUUUCGGGUUGUAAACUUCUUUUCUCAGGGACGAAGCAAGUGACGGUACCUGAGGAAUAAGCCACGGCUAACUACGUGCCAGCAGCCGCGGUAAUACGUAGGUGGCAAGCGUUAUCCGGAUUUACUGGGUGUAAAGGGCGUGUAGGCGGGAAAGCAAGUCAGAUGUGAAAACCAUGGGCCAACCUGGGGGCCUGAAUU